Chelonoidis abingdonii (Abingdon island giant tortoise) is the source of this 1114-nucleotide long non-coding RNA. RefSeq lists it as uncharacterized. NCBI's taxonomy places the organism in Eukaryota, Metazoa, Chordata, Testudines, Testudinidae. The record is from RefSeq and is a predicted model, not a curated record.
AGCUGGGAUAUUAGGUGCUAGAGACAAUGCUGAUCCCUUACUGGCUAUUGCUCCAUCUCCUCUCCCUGCAGCGCGCCUGGCCCCCGGUUCAGUCACUAACACUGUCACUCUUUCUCUAGGAGGGGUCUUUCAUGUGGACGGAUGGUUCCGAAUACAAUUUCCGGACAUUUCCUGCAGGCCAGCCCGAUGGCCUCCCGGGAGAAAACUACCUGGGCUCUUGGAUCCUGCAAAAUGGCUUUGUAACCUGGAACGACUAUGACGCCAUCUGGUCCUUCCCGUUUGUUUGCAAAUACACCCUCCGGAACAGCUGCAGGGACCCCUGCGUAUAACAGGACAUGGUGAAAGACGUGGCCUGUAUCCUGCAGCGGAGGCUGUGUCACCUUCGUGUGCUGUAACUUCACAUCUGGAACCAUUUUCUGCUGUGUCCUUAUCCUGUCUUAUGUGUUCUGGGUAGAACCGGGCAACUAGCAGGUUUUGGGGUUUGCUGGGUAUUCUGAAUAAUUUGGGGGGCAGGGGAUUCAUUUUAGGACAAACUGAAACUUUAUUUUAAAAAAUAUUCUGCAAAUGGAGAAGUGGUGGUGAUGGGAAAAUCAUUUUGAGUCCAAUGAACAUUUUGUUUUGAUUGUUACCAUUUUAAAACUCUGUUUGCUUUUAAUCAAACUAAAGGCCAUUUCAAAAGGGAAAGUAGUUUCAGACCAAAGACGCCAAACGUUUCGAUUUGUUCUGGGUUGGUUUUGGUUUUUAGUUUUGACCAAUACACUUUAGUGAAGCCAAAACAAUCACCAAAUGGUUCAGUUUCACCAAACCUGCAUAUUUCACCAGAAAAGGGGCUGAUCUGAAAAGUGUCACCCGACUGUAUUCCCCCUCGGUCCCUGCUGGCGGGCUCCUGCUGGGAGCCACUUUCCAAUGGGACCCCGCAGCAGGCCGAAGGCCGGGGGAACAAAGGUCGCAGUCUCUUUGGACGCCAGACCACCCAGCUGUACGCUGCGCUCUCGCUGGCACAGCAUCACUCAGCGAUUCUGCUCAUGCAAAUCUGCUUAGAGAGCUCCCUGCUCUGAUCUCUGCUUGUCUUUCUCCCUCCUGCUUUAUACAUGUACCUGGGCAUUCCUACUAA